UUGGCGGACGGGUGAGUAACGCGUGGAAAACCUGCCGUAUACUGGGGGAUAACACUUAGAAAUAGGUGCUAAUACCGCAUAAGCGCACAGCUUCGCAUGAAGCGGUGUGAAAAACUCUGGUGGUAUACGAUGGUUCCGCGUCUGAUUAGCUAGUUGGUGGGGUAAUGGCCUACCAAGGCAACGAUCAGUAGCCGGCCUGAGAGGGUGAACGGCCACAUUGGGACUGAGACACGGACCAAACUCCUACGGGAGGCAGCAG
This 259-nucleotide ribosomal RNA is filed under the name uncultured bacterium. RNAcentral describes it as "partial 16S ribosomal RNA". It matches the Rfam family "Bacterial small subunit ribosomal RNA", at positions 95 to 354 of the family's 1533-position model. The record is from RNAcentral.